AUAUCCCUGCCGUGUACGUUGAAGACUUGAUGAUUGGUGAACCAACACCAAGAUACCGGGAGCUUAUGCUUCUUGACGCUAAGGCGUAAAAGAGAGGGUUCCCACCUGUACCUAAAAGGUUCAGCCCAUCAUAUUCAACGGCACAGCGCGGGGAUAUU
Molecule: non-coding RNA, 158 nt
Filed under: Candidatus Omnitrophota bacterium
Lineage: Bacteria; Pseudomonadati; Candidatus Omnitrophota
Description: 6S RNA
Rfam family: 6S / SsrS RNA
About the family: E. coli 6S RNA was the first non coding RNA to be sequenced, but its function was unknown until recently. It consists of 184 nucleotides that fold into an extended hairpin structure with a large single-stranded internal bulge.
Source: RNAcentral